GAUGAAGAACGUAGCGAAAUGCGAUAAGUAAUGUGAAUUGCAGAAUUCAGUGAAUCAUCGAAUCUUUGAACGCACAUUGCACCCGCUAGUAUUCUGGCGGGCAUGCCUGUUCGAGCGUCAUUUCAACCAUCAAGCCCUGUUUAGGCUUGUGUUGGGGCCCUGCGGUUGCCGCAGCCCCCUAAAUGCAGUGGCGGGCUCGUUGUCACUCCGAGCGCAGUAGCGUAUCUCGCUCUGGGCGUGGCGGCGGGUGCUAGCCGUGAAACACCCACUAAGGUUGACCUCGGAUCAGGUAGGAAUACCCGCUGAACUAAGCAUAUCAAUAAGCGGAGGA
RNAcentral lists this unclassified non-coding RNA (331 nucleotides) under soil metagenome. Its description in RNAcentral is "partial contains 5.8S ribosomal RNA, internal transcribed spacer 2, and large subunit ribosomal RNA". The stretch from base 1 to 120 matches the Rfam family "5.8S ribosomal RNA", at positions 35 to 154 of the family's 154-position model. The record is from RNAcentral.